UUCUGGCUCAGAUUGAACGCUGGCGGCGUGCUUAACACAUGCAAGUCGCGCGUGAAAGGACUUCGGUCCGAGUAAAGCGGCGCACGGGUGAGUAACGCGUGGAUGAUCUACCCAUGAGUUAGGAAUAACGGCUGGAAACGGUCGCUAAUACCAAAUACGCUCCGAUUUCAACUUCGGGGGAAAGGUGGCCUCUGCUUGCAAGCUACUGCUCAUGGAUGAGUCCGCGUCCCAUUAGCUAGUUGGUGGGGUAACCGGCCCACCAAGGCGACGAUGGGUAGCCGGUCUGAGACGGAUGACCGGCCACACUGGGACUGGAACACGGCCCAGACUCCUACGGGAGGCAGCAGUGGGGAAUAUUGCGCAAUGGGCGAAAGCCUGACGCAGCGACGCCGCGUGAGGGAUGAAAGGUCCUCGGAUCGUAAACCUCUGUCAGGAGGGAAGAACCGCCACGGUGCUAAUCAGCAGUGGUCUGACGGUACCUCCAAAGGAAGCACCGGCUAACUCCGUGCCAGCCGCAGC
This 519-nucleotide ribosomal RNA is filed under the name uncultured bacterium. RNAcentral's name for it is "bacterial SSU rRNA". It matches the Rfam family "Bacterial small subunit ribosomal RNA", at positions 17 to 518 of the family's 1533-position model. The record is from RNAcentral.